Heterorhabditis bacteriophora is the source of this 150-nucleotide non-coding RNA. The record is from Rfam. Lineage: Eukaryota; Metazoa; Nematoda; Chromadorea; Rhabditida; Heterorhabditidae.
UAGCUUUAGCGAUGGAUCGGUUGAUUCGCGUAUCGAUGAAAAACGCAGCAAGCUGCGUUAUUUACCACGAAUUGCAGACGCUUAGAGUGGUGAAGUUUUGAACGCACAGCGCCGUUGGGUUUUCCCUUCGGCACGUCUGGCUCAGGGUUG